CUUUGCUGUGAGAACGUCAGGAUCUGGCUGCAGCACAGGGUCAGUGAGCGUGCAAAGACUUGGCAGAGGAAAACACGUGUGUUCGUGGAGACCUUUCAAUUAGGAACUGGGCGAGAAGGCAGAGGAAGAGAUGGGGAGGGUUCCCUGUAGCCCUGAGAGAUGAAGUGGCUUGACCAAGGACACAUUGGUAGUUCUUUUUUCUGUGCACCCGUCAGGUAGACCUGCUUUCUCGAGGAGCCGAUUUGAGGGGGUGAGGAGAACUACUCUUCAUUAGAUGAGAGGAGAGAAGCCAGAUAUUUGCAGCUGGAGUUGGCUAUGUGACUCCUGCCACCUGCUGCUGCUAAUUUGUUCCUGGGUCGACCAUCUGACCUUCUGCCCACGAAAUGAGACAGUGAAACACUCCUUCUGCCAACAGAGCUACAUGAAAACACAAAUUUUCACUUCAUCAAGUGAUCACCAUGCUUCAGUUUCUGACUCCGCCCAUGCUCCACCACCAGGCUCAGGUGUGCUCCUGGAAGUAUCACUCAUUCUUCCUCCCCAGGUUGGGCUAGGUUUAGGUUAUGGGUGCAAUUCCUUUGUGUGUCGGUCACGGACUAUUUCGAGGCUGCAGAAUGAUCCAGCAAUUGCACUUACGGUCAUAUAUCCUAAGGAAAUGAAGUCACCAUCUUGGACACAUACCUGCACUUUCAUGUCUAUUUCAGCAUUAUCUGGAAGAGUCAAGACAUGGAAACAACUUAAGUGUCUGUCGAUUGAAGAAUAAAUAAAGAAAAUAUGGUAUAUAUAUUUUUAAUGAGAUAUUAUUCAGUCAUAAAAAAGAAAAUUCUGC
This 826-nucleotide long non-coding RNA is filed under the name Bos indicus x Bos taurus (hybrid cattle). RNAcentral describes it as "lncRNA (ENSBIXG00005000103.1)". Lineage: Eukaryota; Metazoa; Chordata; Mammalia; Artiodactyla; Bovidae. The record is from RNAcentral.